Long non-coding RNA from Felis catus (domestic cat), 4213 nucleotides. RefSeq lists it as uncharacterized. NCBI's taxonomy places the organism in Eukaryota, Metazoa, Chordata, Mammalia, Carnivora, Felidae. The transcript has 8 exons. The record is from RefSeq and is a predicted model, not a curated record.
AGUGUGACCGGAAGUUGGUGACCGGUGAGGCGUGGUGUGGAUAACGUACGAGUGAGUCGUAACACUGGCUUGAGCUGAGUGGGUUCACUGAUCAGAAGUUAACCUAAGGUGACAGUGGACGUGGAUUUGAUAGGAGUGGCUCUGUCCCACAGCAGAUAUUGCAAUAGAGAAGUUUUGAAGACUACUUUUCCAGCCUCACAGUUUGCCUGAAGUGCUUCUGGGAGGUAAUUUAGGCAAAACAAACAAAAAAAAAAAUGGUUUGAAUUUCUGAUAGUAACGACGGUGUGGAGAACCCUUGAAAGAAAGCCACAGUCACAAGUCAGGUUCUGACCUCAACUGUGAUGGACAGUGACUGGCCCUGUGAAGACAUGGAGGAGGAAACAUAGUCAAUAAACUCUGGAACACUAGCAAGCCACUCUAGGACAAAGUAAAGGCCUUCAAAUUCUCUCCUGGAAAGAAACAAGAGCCUCUUAAUGGCAGUGAUCCUCAUGUUACAGCCUUUUAUACUGGUUAUAAUACGGUAUGUCUUCAGAUACAAGGUCAAGCACUUUGUCAUCUUAAGAGGAUCAUGCUCCACUGACUGAGCUAGCUGGGCACUUCCAUCAUCUUAAACUUACCCAUCAGUCUCAGACUAUUCAAUCCAGUCAAAACACUUGUAUGAAUGUUGGCUCCUUAACCCUUCAGGAAGGGAAAGUGGGAAGGAAGAGAGAGAAGCCGGAAAAAUGCGAUGAGCCCCCAUCAGAAGAACUUCCCUGAUGCCUCCACGCUGCAAAGAAGUCCAAUCCACCAGAGACACCAUGGGUUAAGUGCUUUGGUUGAAAGAUCCAGCUGCUUGCUGUACUCCGCCUUUCUUCAGGUGGCCGAAAUUCCAAAAAGGAAGACGAAAAUAUGAUUACUCUUCUUGAAAGCAUAAAGGCCUCUCCCUUUCACAGACACAGUAUUCUGGAUGUGCACCACCACGCAUACGACCAUACAAGUCCAUGGACGUGCGUGAUUCCCCAUAUCUCCGGGUUGUCUCCAUCAGUCGUGAAAUUGGAUGGGCUAUCAUAAAAGGCACAGGACAUAAACUACCUGAGGUAGGAAGGAAUUAAAGUGUCAUCUGAAUUCUGAAAAUCAUUUUCACUGGGUAGAAGGUAAGAGAUUCUUUACCUAAUUGAUUUUACUUAAUAGUUCACUUUUUCCCCACUAUGCUGUAUUAAAUUCAGCAGCUCAUAAAAUGUAAAUAAAGGAAGGAGCGCAUUGACAAUCGUCUCAAACAAAUGCUUCUUAAAAGUAACACCUUUUAUAAUCAAUGUUAUUAAUUUGCUGACUUUUUGGAUAGCUUUUACACAUUAUGAAUUCAUUUGGUAUUAAUGUAGGUGCCAGUUUUUCUGGAGGACAAUGAUAAACAGGCAAUAACAAAAUAGGGAGGUAUACUUUUGAAGAGACAAACAGAGUAUAGCUUUAAUAGAAACAGUGUGCCCAUUUAGUAGCCAACUGAAGUGGAGAUAUUAAAUGUUAAGAGGGGCAGAGGCCCUAUUUAGAAAUAACUAGGAAAGUCAGUAUCCAGUCUUUGAGCAUCUCUGCUCAUUCUCUCCAACCUAAGGCUUAUAUAAGAGCUGGAAGUUCAGAAGUAAAAUUACAUUACUCUUAAAUAUGUUCUUAGCAAUUCCUCUCCUUCGCUAGCAUUUUGCCUCCCAUCCUUCUCUGCACCGAUGCCUUAAAUGCCUUUGAACUCCUACCUCUCCCCUUUCCCUCAAAGCAUCUCAUCACAAAGCAACAGAUAAUUCAUUUAUUCAAAUGAUAAAUAAUAGCACAAGUGUAUGUAUAUGUAUUAUUACCCUCUUCUCAUAAGGUGUUCGCAUUUUAUACGCAUUAAUCCAUUGAGAUUGUUCCAAACCUAAAAUUACCAGGUAAGUCUUCUGACAAGGAGAACAUGCCUAAGAAAAUUCUAAGAUUUGCUUUUCAGAAAACAGCAGUUAGGCUCCUGCUCCAGUGAAAACAGUAUAUUCAUUGUGUAGAGUUAACCAGGAUCUGAUUCCCAUCCUCACUGCCACCCCAAAAAUAGCAAUUAAAGCUUUAGCAUUCCCCAUAAAUGAUAGAAAGACCAAGCUUCUCUUACCAGCCACUGCUCUUUCCAGUCAUUCCUCCCCAGCCCAAGUCAAAUGCUUGCUGCUUUCAGACCCCUGUUACUCAUACAACAGCCUUUACCCUCCCCCGCUUAACACUAUCAUCCACAUCAUUGAAAGCCAAUGAUCUUUGCCUUUAAUUUCUGGCAUUAUUGUCAGUGACUUCAAUGUCUACAUUAGUGGUCAAUACAUAACCCUGACCUUGCAGUCCUGUGAUCUCAUCUCCUAUUGCCUUUGUUCUCUAUACAAUCUUCAAUUCACAUGGUCUGUGUCCAGUUAUGGCUUUCAAGUUAACUCUGUCUCUAUAAUCUAGACCUAUACCUGUCUUACCACAAUUUCCAUUCUUCCCAGUAUUAUUUAUCAGAUAUUCUCAUUUUAUGCUAUGUUUUUACCUACUUUUCUUACUACCCCUACUUUCUUUGUGCUUAGCAGCCCUUACCUAUCUUUACUUCUUUUCCUAUAGAGCAAAAUUCCCACACCUCAUCCCUUUACUAGAGUUCCUCUACACAAUUUCUUGUCCCACUGGGCCUCUGCCACUCCAUCUCACAAAGGCCAAUGCUGUUCAAGUAUAGUUGCCUGAUUUCAUAUUUACAUCUGCAUUUCUGGGAGCUUCUGGAGAAUAUCUCACUGCCAGAUAGACUUGUGCCUCUAUCAAUCCAUGGUCACUGACCUCAACAAAAGAAACACUUCCCAGAAAUGUUUGUUCCCUAUUUGGAAUCGCUUUAAAGUUCCAAUCUUCAUCACCUUUCCAUCAGCGUCAAAUUUUGUUUGAUUCAUUACACUGUAAAAUAUAUCAGAGAAUAACAACUGUAAUUCCAGCACAUAAACAUAUAAACUCAACUUACCCCUUCCUGCUCUCUGCUGUUGUAAGAGAAGAGCUUACUGUCCAAAAGUUUCAUCUUAUCCGUAAGAUCCCAUGGGAUUCCCCCCCUCCUCCAAGUCCUCAUACACAUAUUCAGCUCCUUAGAGACCCCACUUUUCAACCACCCAUUUCCUGUCCUCUCUGCUGGCUACCUAUUACUCAAAUCUACUCUGUUCUUCCUCUAACCAAAAACAAAACAAUGUGUAUCCUGCAGUCUCCAUCUUUCUCCUCCUAUCAUAAUCAAAGUCUCUAAGGGAAUUGCCACAUUCACUCCUUGUAGUUUCUCAUUACUCCUGCUUCUCAAUUCUCUGUUUCUCCUUCCAAGCUUCUUAGUGAUACAACGGAAUCAGCUCACACUGAUUCAAGAGCGCCAAUUAUGUGUUUCUCUUCCCAACUGCACAGGGAUGUAACAUUGGUAGCUCACAUAUAAAUUAUGGUGGGAAUGUUUAUCUCCGAGAAACCGGUAAACGCUACAAACCCAUGAAUCAACCUUGUUUUUUUGUGUACCAGCACCUGCUGUCUGUAUUCUUCUAUUACCUUCCAAAUGCCAUGUCUUGGUUUCUCACAUGUUGGUGUAGGCACAGUAACUCUCCAUUUUUUUUCAUUCUCAGAGAGUCAGCAUCAUCCGUAUACUAGGAAUUCUCACAGUGUACCAACAGCCCCAAACUCACUCAUAAACCUAACCCAAAUUCACAAUGUUCCUCUCCAUUUAAAUGGUUCACACACCUGUCAACUUCGAUGUUUCCACAAUGGAACUCAUACUGUUUCUUUCACAAGAUUGGUCCCCUCUCUAGGCCAUAUUUCAAUAAGUGACUUGGUUGUUCAAGCAAGAGACCUAGGUUUUAUCCUUGAUUCUUUGAUCUUCCUCUACUUAUCAGCCUAAUCUACCUCCUAAGCAUUUCUCAAACCCACAGACUUCUUUUCGUCCUCGCUACAGUUGUCCUGUAGACAUGAGCUAUAAUCUAAGUUACUUCAAUGGGCUUUUGACUUUUUCUUUGCAUCCAGAGUUGUUCCAGCCCCACCUAUUACCUUCACUAGAAGACUAAUACUCUGGUUCCUAAUUACCUUCCCAGGUUCAUGUCUCUUCUGGUUUAGUGUUUGGCACAGUCAUUUCAAGCGCUUUUAGUCCCCAAAUGUUGGCACACUUUUGCCUCUUGCACCACUGCUCUGCCUGUUUUUUUUUUAAUUUUUUUUUCAACGUUUAUUUAUUUUUGGGACAGAGAGAGACAGAGCAUGAACGGGG